CGGGAAGUAGCGCAGCUUGGCAGCGCGCAGCGUUCGGGACGCUGAGGUCGCGGGUUCAAAUCCCGCCUUCCCGACCA
RNAcentral lists this transfer RNA (77 nucleotides) under Ferrimicrobium acidiphilum. RNAcentral describes it as "tRNA-Pro". It matches the Rfam family "tRNA". From Rfam's summary of the family: Transfer RNA (tRNA) molecules are approximately 80 nucleotides in length. Their secondary structure includes four short double-helical elements and three loops (D, anti-codon, and T loops). RNAcentral also lists the same sequence under 4 other names. Lineage: Bacteria; Bacillati; Actinomycetota; Acidimicrobiia; Acidimicrobiales; Acidimicrobiaceae. The record is from RNAcentral.